CACGUAGGACGCAAGCGUUAUCCGGAAUUACUGGGCGUAAAGGGCGUGUAGGCGGCACGGUAAGUCAACCGUGAAAGCUCCCGGCUAAACUGGGAGAGGUCGGAUGAGACUGCCGAGCUAGAGGGUCGUAGAGGGGUGUGGAAUUCCGGGUGUAGUGGUGAAAUGCGUAGAGAUCCGGAGGAACACCAGAGGCGAAGGCGGCACCCUGGAUCGUAACUGACGCUGAGGCGCGAAAGCAUGGGUAGCGAAC
This 250-nucleotide ribosomal RNA is filed under the name uncultured bacterium. Its description in RNAcentral is "partial 16S ribosomal RNA". It matches the Rfam family "Bacterial small subunit ribosomal RNA", at positions 524 to 773 of the family's 1533-position model. The record is from RNAcentral.